GCUGCUGAUUUAUGGUGAGACGGCGAGGUCUCUGGAUAACACCACACGGUCGUCAAGGCCACUCCAGAGCAGCAUGUGGAGAGGGGACAGAACAGUGGAGUUGUUGGUUGAUGGAGCGUGUGUCUGAGAAAGUCUAGUGGCUUUCUACAGUAUGACAUUGGCUAUGCCAGCUGCCCCAGCACACAGGAGUAUUUUCCGAAGGGCCGGCCCAGGGGCGCACAGUCUCCCGCCUGCAGCUGAGGCCCACAGCCCGAGGGGGAGGACAAAGAGGUAUACAAGGCCUUUUCCAGAGUCUGACUACAUCUUGGCUAAAGUCCAACCUGGCCUGUGCUCCAACCCCUAGCAGAUGGGGUGCCUGGGCUGGAGGGGGAGAGCCCUAUUUUCCAGCCCAGAUGGAGAGGAGGCUAAUGCAGGCCUUCUAGUGGGAACCCUUCAAGCCCUGUGCUGCCGUGCCUUGGACUCUCACCCACAGGAAUGCCCAGCUCAGGACACCUGUCAGCCACACAGGACAAGAGCCAGCUGUCUGCCGCACAGGCAGGAAGGUAGAGCAGCUCAUGAGAGUCUCUGGGUCCUGGCUCAUUUCUGAGAUUAUAGAGAGAUUCUGUGGUGGGCCAGGGCUCCCACGCACUUUCAAAAAUAAGUCCCCCAUGUAAACGGGUUUCCCUCUACUUUGCCCAAUCCCCCCAAUCCCAAACUCAUUACCAUUGAACCAAUUCCGAUUCUGGCGACCCUGAAGGACACAGUAGGACUAUUCUCUGUAAGGCUGCCCAUCUGUACAGACUCGGAUGGCUACACCUUUCUCCCACAGAAUAGCUAAUAGAUUCAAACCACUGCCCUCUGGUUCGUAGCCAGGCUCUUUAACCCCUGCACCACCAGGGCUCUGUGUGCUUCCCAAGAGGUGUGCAAUUUGUGCAAUUGGGCAAUAACAACCUGAAGUUCAAAAGCUAAUGCCGUCUGGCCUAGUAAUUUCACUCCUAGGGAUUUCCUGUGCAUCCUGUGUGGCACAAGGAGGUUUCCUGGGAAGGCAGCAUGCAGCCCUGCUUCCAGUGGCCAACUAGAAAGCACCCCGUGCUCAGCAAGUGUCCGACUUCUACAACGGCAGGCCACCAGAUGAGGAGUGCCCUGCGUCUCUUCAAAGAAUGAAGGAGUUGCGUGUGGGCUACGUGGAACCAUCUCUACAGCUGAUUCAAUGAAAAAGAGUAGAACAGUGUGAUGUAUUAUAUACAUCCGCAUACGCACGAGUCAUCGCCUAAUAAACGAGCCACGGGCGUUGCUUCUGGGAAGGGAACCAGGUGACUGGGAACAGGGCUAGGAGGGAGACCUGGGAUUCAUAGCAUUUUCUACCUUUAAACAUUUGUACCAAACGUAUCUAUACGGUCUACUUUUAAAAUACACACACCAUUUUUGUACAGAAAAGGAAAAGCCCCACUAGUGGUUCUGAUACUCAGAGAUUGAGAACCCGAACGGAGGAGGGACCCCGAGACCACUAAGGAGAGAGAGACUGGACAUCCCUUAAAGUAAAGCAAAUACAAAUCUCAUUCGGCAUCUGCCCAGGGUGGAGAGGGUGGCCACAGCUUGCAGCGGAGCCCCUUCCGGCACACACAGUUGGCCUGCAAUGACUGCCCUCGGGAGCCCGCUUCUCCAGCCUCACGCACACCACCGAGCGGAGACUCGCUUCACUGCAUUCCCACUGCACUUUGGGCUGGGAGUUACUCCAGUCCUGGCCUCUGACCAGCACCCUUUUCCAAACCCAUCACUUUCUCUCCAGGCCCCCAUUCUAAUCACUUUGCACCUUUCCCAUGGCUCCUCUAUACCCAGCUUCACCCACUGUCACCGGUUCUAGUUAUGUAGACAUCUAGAUGUGAAAGAGCCUUGACAUCCGCGUGACAAUGUCCCCUCGGGGUCAGUUCACAGAAUUUCCCAUUCUCUCCCUCGGUCUG
Echinops telfairi (small Madagascar hedgehog) is the source of this 1940-nucleotide long non-coding RNA. RefSeq lists it as uncharacterized. The transcript is spliced from 3 exons. Lineage: Eukaryota; Metazoa; Chordata; Mammalia; Afrosoricida; Tenrecidae. The record is from RefSeq and is a predicted model, not a curated record.